RNAcentral lists this ribosomal RNA (497 nucleotides) under uncultured bacterium. Its description in RNAcentral is "partial 16S ribosomal RNA". It matches the Rfam family "Bacterial small subunit ribosomal RNA", at positions 28 to 507 of the family's 1533-position model. The record is from RNAcentral.
GAUGAACGCUGGCGGCGUGCCUAAUACAUGCAAGUCGAGCGAAAGGACGAUAAGAUCGCUCUCCUGAUGUUAGCGGGGGGCGGGCGAGUAACACAUGGAUAACCUACUUCUUUUACUUGGAUAAUAUCGGGGAAAAGGUGACAAUACUAGCUCAUAUUUUCAACGGGAUGGUUCAAAAGUGCAACACGGCUUUGCUGUUACAUUUAGCCGGAUUCGCGCUGCAUUAGCUAGUUGGUAAGGUAACGGCCUACCAAGGCGACGAUGCAUAGCCGACCUGAGAGGGUGAUCGGCCACACUGGAACUGAGACACGGUCCAGACUCCUACGGGAGGCAGCAGUAGGGAAUAUUGGGCAAUGGGCGAAAGCCUGACGCAGCAACGCCGCGUGAGUGAAGAAGGCCUUCGGGUUGUAAAACUCUGUUAUUGGGAAAGAAAAGAAGCGUGAUUAACUGUGGAUAUCUUGACGGUACCUAAACAGAAAGCCACGGCUAACUACGUG